UCGACUAGCUACCAUAACGGUUACGGAGUGUGUGGGCAGGUGACUAGCACUGGCAGCUACCAUAACAUCCUACAUAUCAUUAUCUCACAUCGCCUAGGGUAAGGAUUUAUGGGUUUUGUUUUGUGGUUAUUGGUAUUUUUAGGUAUACGAAAACUAUUGGAUUUGAAUUUGGGGGACGAUAUUCUUUUUAAGUGGUGGAGAAUGUGACAAUCCAAAUUUUUAAGACUUUAAUUUAUAUUUAGUUGUCAUAAUUAAUCUUUCUUUUGGUUGAAGACUUACCUAAUUGGAGAUGGGAUUAUUGAUUAUUUAAUUGGACACUUCCGGUUUAUAAUUUUCCGUUGCAUAUUGUUUAGAUUAUAUUUGAUUGAUGAGGUAGGCAUAUCCCAGCCGAAAUUAAAGACCAAAAAAAAAAAGAGGCAAAAUUGGUGAUAUUUUCGUGGGCCCAGUGGAGGUAUUAAUUGGGUUAAUUAGUUUUGUUACUUAUUUAAUAUAUAUAUUUGUAACACUGAUGCAUUAGGAGAUGCAUCUGCCGGAAGCAAAGAGAAAUAGGGGAAAAAAAAGAAAAAAAAAAAGAAAGAAUGAAAUUGUUAUAAUAGUAUUUUUGGCGGGUCCCAUUUGAUGUUGCAUUUGUAUAAUAGAUAUAUAAAUGUUAUGUUUUAUGGUGAUAGGAAAAUGAGAGAGCAGCCGACGUCAAUGAGAGAAAGGAAAGAGAUUUGGUAAUGUGAUGAUGGUGGUUCGAGUCCUACUUAGAUUUUAAUGGGUUUGGUUUGUUGCAUUAUAUAUAUAUAUAUAUAUAUAUAUAUAUAUAUAUAUGCAUUUGAUGAUGGGUCAAUGGUGCUUGUUAAAAAGAAAGAAAAAAACAAGGUGGUAAAUGGUGAGGUUGAAAUGAUGGGUGUGGAGCCCACUAGUGUUUUACUUGGGCAAAACUUGGGCUUUGGCAAUGCACAGCUCAUAUUUGUUGCUUAUGAGAUGAUAUAUAUAGGAAGUACAGAAAGUGAUUUGAUGAAGGAAAAGAUAGAUACAAAAAAAAAAAAAAAAGUAAUGAUUAUUUUUGACUUUGGCCACUUUAUUCAAGUGGGUUUUGAUGGCUGGCAUUUUGUUUGAGUGGUGAGCGUUUUUGUUGGGAGUCAAUGGAAUUGCCUUUAUAAAGAGUGUGUUUUGCAACUUUGGUAAUGAUACAAAGUGAAAGAAAAAUAGAGGAAAACAAAGUGAGCCGAGAGAGACACAGAGAGACGAGAGUUAUAGAGAGAGUCCGUGAGGUUGCGGAGGAGGCCGGAAGCUUGAGGCUUUGAUAAUUUGGACUCGGGAAAGAAGUAGGAGACGCAGACCCUUCAUAAACUUAAAGAGGACUGGGAAUAUAUAUUUUAUAUUUUUACUACUUUUGUAUAUUUGCUACACUUUUGUAAAGUCUUAAAACCAUAGUGAAGUGUAUGCAUUUUGCAAGCCAUGGUCAUGUAUUGUAAACUAUAACUUUUGUUGGUAUUUUGAGGGGAAGUGAGACUAUGUAAAUAUUUUGUGUUGAAUGGAAUGAUGAUGAUGAUGGGCCAUCUUGAGGA
This is a long non-coding RNA of Cornus florida, 1556 nucleotides long. RefSeq lists it as uncharacterized. The record is from RefSeq and is a predicted model, not a curated record. Lineage: Eukaryota; Viridiplantae; Streptophyta; Magnoliopsida; Cornales; Cornaceae. The transcript has 2 exons.